Molecule: transfer RNA, 54 nt
Filed under: Eurrhacini sp. UPOL A00622
Lineage: Eukaryota; Metazoa; Arthropoda; Insecta; Coleoptera; Lycidae
Description: partial tRNA-Ser
Source: RNAcentral
AUAAACAUAUUUGUGCUUUUUAGAAAGUUAGAAGCUUUCUUAGGAUAUUUCUUU